UACAGAGGUCCCAAGCGUUGUUCGGAUUCACUGGGCGUAAAGGGCGCGUAGGUGGCCGGGUAAGUUCGAUGUGAAAGCUCUGAGCUCAACCCGGAAAUGGCCUUGAAUACUAUCCGGCUCGAGGGUUGGAGGGGGGACUGGAAUUCUCGGUGUAGCAGUGAAAUGCGUAGAUAUCGAGAGGAACACCAGUGGCGAAGGCGAGUCCCUGGACAACACCUGACACUGAGGCACGAAAGCUAGGGGAGCAAACGGG
RNAcentral lists this ribosomal RNA (253 nucleotides) under uncultured prokaryote. RNAcentral's name for it is "partial 16S ribosomal RNA". It matches the Rfam family "Bacterial small subunit ribosomal RNA", at positions 524 to 776 of the family's 1533-position model. The record is from RNAcentral.